ACGAAUAAUGAAUCAACACCCAUUAUAUGGAGAGGAUCCAGUGUCGGGAAGGAACAAUACUGAAUCUACACCUAAGCAUGUUCAGAGGAUCCAAUGUUAGGAAGGACGAAUAAUGAAUCAAUA
Long non-coding RNA from Ceratina calcarata, 123 nucleotides. RefSeq lists it as uncharacterized. NCBI's taxonomy places the organism in Eukaryota, Metazoa, Arthropoda, Insecta, Hymenoptera, Apidae. The transcript is spliced from 3 exons. The record is from RefSeq and is a predicted model, not a curated record.